RNAcentral lists this transfer RNA (74 nucleotides) under Dipodomys ordii (Ord's kangaroo rat). It matches the Rfam family "tRNA". Rfam says of the family: Transfer RNA (tRNA) molecules are approximately 80 nucleotides in length. Their secondary structure includes four short double-helical elements and three loops (D, anti-codon, and T loops). Lineage: Eukaryota; Metazoa; Chordata; Mammalia; Rodentia; Heteromyidae. The record is from Rfam by way of RNAcentral.
GGGAAUGUGGCUUAGUGGUAGAGUGCUUGCCUAGCAUGCAUGUAUGUAGCCCUGGGUUCAAUUCCUCAGUACCA